Molecule: long non-coding RNA, 626 nt
Organism: Athalia rosae (coleseed sawfly)
Lineage: Eukaryota; Metazoa; Arthropoda; Insecta; Hymenoptera; Athaliidae
Exons: 5
Source: RefSeq, a predicted model, not a curated record
GUCACGUAUAGCCUAUGACUACAUUCAAAUCCCUUUAUCACGAUGACACCCACGCUUAUAUCACUGCUUGUGAUUACAAAUUAGAUUUUCUGUAAACGGAAGAAGGGGAGAAGGCUGUUCACGGAAUAUAAAAAAUCUAGUCUGCGACGUUCUGAAGGUACCAAACCACAAUAUUUUUCUAAUUCUGUGAGUUGGACAUCGGAAGAAUCUAAGCGAGAUAGGUAUAGCACUGCAGCCUCCAAUUGUAUAUCUUUUGUUAGAAUUCCUUCGCCGAUGUAACAAGCAAGGAGCCAUCCGCUUGGGGCAUGUAAAUUGGAUCGGACUGGUUGAUUUGAAAAUUCCUCGGUGGAAGCAAUACUUAUCUGAGAUGUUCUGGCAUAAAUAAUUGGUGCAGUACCAGUCUGCAGUGAGGGGCAUGGUGAUUGGUCUGUUUUGGAAAGGCAACCCUUAUCUUUAUCUACUUGUUGGGCCACAUUCUUGACUGCACUCUUGUCACCUUUGCCACAAGACCUUCUAGUCAUGCCGGUCAAAAGUUUACGGUCACUGUUUCCAGGUACUUUGUCAUGAGGUUUGGAGACCUUUGGAGUAAUUGAAGGAUAUCGAUCAAACUGUGAGUGAGCUGAUUG